This is a long non-coding RNA of Piliocolobus tephrosceles (Ugandan red Colobus), 1169 nucleotides long. The record is from Ensembl. Lineage: Eukaryota; Metazoa; Chordata; Mammalia; Primates; Cercopithecidae.
ACAAAACGAAUCGAAUGAACAAAACGAGCAAAACAUAAAUAAAAACUCAUCAUCAUCAGAUGUGCAUAUCAAAGACGAAUCUGUAUAUAUCGAUAUAUUGAAAAAUAAAAACAUAGAAACAGUUACUAUAAAUAUAUUUGACAAACAUCGAUUUUAUUAUAGAACUCGUUUUCGAAGUUUAAUAUCACAAAGCUUAAGUAGUGAUGAUUACAUAAAAUACUGUGAAAUAAGAGAAAAGUUAUUUAAAUAUAAAAAAAAAAAUUUUAUAAAUUGGUUAUCCAAUUUUACAAAUAUGAAUAUAUUAAAUAUAUAUGUAAUUAAUUUUUUUUAUAUUUUUAUUUUUAGAUAGAUUAUAUUUAAUAAUAGAGACAUAUAUACGAUUUAAUUAUUAUGAGCAAGAAAACAAAAAUUGUUCUAUUAAUAAUUCUUUAACAGAAAACAUAGAUAAUUUAAAAAAUUUACCAAAUUUUAAUUAUAUUUUAAAUUAUUUAACUCAGUUUAUAAAAAAAGAUGAUGACAAUUUAUCAAUAAAUGUCAUCCAAAAAACUAAUAAUGAUUCACAAAAUAAUAAAAAAAAUCAAUAUUUAGAAAAAGAAAAUAAUAAUUCCACAAAUAAUAUAUAUAAUUUGACACAAAUGUAUAAUACAAUUGUUAAAGAAAAAAUGUCUAAUUUCUUUUUAUCAAUAAAUAUUAUAUAUAAUUUAGACAUAUAUAAUUUAAAAAUAAAAAAUAAAAUAACUUUUGAAAAAUUAAUAAAAAUAGAUAUUUCCUCGUAUAUUAAUGAAAGUAACAUUUAUGAACUUAUAAAAUUUGAUAAAAAUAAAAACAUAUCCCCAUGGAAUUUAUUAACCAAUUAUGCUAUACUUCAAAACAGCAAUUUUAAGUUGGAAAAAUUUGACUGCUUUUCCAUUUUUCUUAUUGUUCGCUUCAAGUUUUAUUUGGAAGAAUUCAAGGAAAAUGCAAACAUUGAUUACAUAUACAAAAAUAUAAAAGAAGAAUAUCUCGAAGUUGAAAAUUACUUAAAAAAUAAUGAGAAUGAUAAUUGUAAUGCACACAAUUCCAAUUAUUUUGAAUUUAAUAGUUUAAUACCUCUUUAUCUUGAUAUACAAAAAGAAUUGAAAAAGGUAUUAUUAUGUUUAAUAAUUUGUAAUUGUUUAUCUAUUUGUAAU